UACGAAGGGGGCUAGCGUUGUUCGGAAUUACUGGGCGUAAAGGGCUCGUAGGCGGCCAACUAAGUCAUACGUGAAAUCCCUCGGCUUAACCGGGGAACUGCGUCUGAUACUGGAUGGCUUGAGUUCGGGAGAGGGAUGCGGAAUUCCAGGUGUAGCGGUGAAAUGCGUAGAUAUCUGGAGGAACACCGGUGGCGAAGGCGGCAUCCUGGACCGAUACUGACGCUGAGGAGCGAAAGCGUGGGGAGCAAACAGG
RNAcentral lists this ribosomal RNA (253 nucleotides) under uncultured bacterium. RNAcentral's name for it is "partial 16S ribosomal RNA". It matches the Rfam family "Bacterial small subunit ribosomal RNA", at positions 524 to 776 of the family's 1533-position model. The record is from RNAcentral.